Molecule: ribosomal RNA, 503 nt
Filed under: uncultured bacterium
Lineage: Bacteria
Description: bacterial SSU rRNA
Rfam family: Bacterial small subunit ribosomal RNA
Source: RNAcentral
GACGAACGCUGGCGGCGUGGAUUAGGCAUGCAAGUCGAACGGUAUCAUCCUUUCGGGGGUGAGAGAGUGGCGAACUGGUGAGUAACACGUAGGUUAUCUACCCUCAAGACGGGGACAACCCAGGGAAACUUGGGCUAAUACCGGAUGUGAGCAACUUUUAGUUGUUUGAAAGGUGGCGUAAGCUGUCGCUUGGGGAUGAGCCUGCGUCCUAUUAGUUAGUUGGUGAGGUAACGGCUCACCUAGGCAAUGAUAGGUAGGCGGCCUUAACGGGUGGUCGCCCACACUGGGAUUGAGAUACGGCCCAGACUCCUACGGGAGGCAGCAGUCGAGAAUAGUCUACAAUGGUCGGAAGACUGAUAGUGCGACGCCGCGUGAACGAUGAAUCCCUUCGGGGUGUAAAGUUCUUUUAUAUGUGAGCAGUGCUUCUUAUAUUAACAGUAUGGGGAGAGGAAGAUAUUAGCAUAUGAAUAAGCAACGGCUAACUCCGUGCCAGCAGCCGCGGU